Molecule: ribosomal RNA, 405 nt
Filed under: uncultured rumen bacterium
Lineage: Bacteria
Description: bacterial SSU rRNA
Rfam family: Bacterial small subunit ribosomal RNA
Source: RNAcentral
CAGCAGCCGCGGUAACACGGAGGGUGCAAGCGUUAUCCGGAUUCACUGGGUUUAAAGGGUGCGUAGGCGGGUAUUUAAGUCAGUGGUGAAAUCCUAGAGCUUAACUCUAGAACUGCCAUUGAUACUAUUUAUCUUGAAUAUUGUGGAGGUAAGCGGAAUAUGUCAUGUAGCGGUGAAAUGCUUAGAUAUGACAUAGAACACCUAUUGCGAAGGCAGCUUACUACGCAUAUAUUGACGCUGAGGCACGAAAGCGUGGGGAUCAAACAGGAUUAGAUACCCUGGUAGUCCACGCCCUAAACGAUGGAUACUCGACAUACGCGAUACACUGUGUGUGUCUGAGCGAAAGCAUUAAGUAUCCCACCUGGGAAGUACGACCGCAAGGUUGAAACUUAAAGGAAUUGGCGG